This 110-nucleotide ribosomal RNA is filed under the name Caerostris darwini. The record is from RNAcentral. Lineage: Eukaryota; Metazoa; Arthropoda; Arachnida; Araneae; Araneidae.
AACGGCCGUACCAUGCUGAAUACACCGUUCUGGUUAGAUCACCGGGUUAAGCAUCAUUGAGCGCGGUCAGUACUUGGGUGGGUGACCACCUGGGAACACCGCGUCGUUGG